CCUACGGGCGGCAGCAGUGAGGAAUAUUGGUCACUGGCCGUGAGGCUGAACCAGCCAAGUAGCGUGAGGGAAGACUGCCCUAUGGGUUGUAAACCUCUUUUAUGCGGGGAUAAAGGUUUCCACGUGUGGAUGUUUGCGGGUACCGCAUGAAUAAGGACCGGCUAAUUCCAUGCCAGCAGCCGCGGGAGUACGGCAGGUCCGGGCGUGAUCCGGAUUGCUUGGGGUUAAAGGGAGCGUAGGCCGGUCUUUAAGCGUGCCGUGAAAUUUUGUGGCUCAACCAUGGGAGUGCGGCGCGAACUGGAGACCUUGAGUGCGCGGAAGGCAUGCGGAAUUCGUGGUGUAGCGGUGAAAUGCUUAGAUAUCACGAAGAACCCCGAUUGCGAAGGCAGCCUGCCGCAGCGUUACUGACGCUGAAGCACGAAAGCGCGGGUAUCGAACAGGAUUAGAUACCCGGGUAGUC
This 460-nucleotide ribosomal RNA is filed under the name uncultured bacterium. RNAcentral describes it as "partial 16S ribosomal RNA". It matches the Rfam family "Bacterial small subunit ribosomal RNA", at positions 338 to 795 of the family's 1533-position model. The record is from RNAcentral.